Piliocolobus tephrosceles (Ugandan red Colobus) is the source of this 161-nucleotide small nuclear RNA. Its record names the gene U1. It matches the Rfam family "U1 spliceosomal RNA". From Rfam's summary of the family: U1 is a small nuclear RNA (snRNA) component of the spliceosome (involved in pre-mRNA splicing). Its 5' end forms complementary base pairs with the 5' splice junction, thus defining the 5' donor site of an intron. NCBI's taxonomy places the organism in Eukaryota, Metazoa, Chordata, Mammalia, Primates, Cercopithecidae. The record is from Ensembl.
AUCCUUACCUGGCAGGGGAGAUACCAUGAUCGUGAAGGUGGUUUUCCCAGGGUGAGGUUUAUCCAUUGCACUCCAGAUGUGCUGACCCUGUGAUUUCCCCAAAUGUGGGAAACUCAAUUGCAUAAUUUGUGGCAGUGUGAACUAUGUUCUCACUAUUCCCU